GCACCAGAUCGGACAGUUUUCAGUAGAGCUUCUGAUCUUCUGGAAACAAAUUCAUCAUAUGGUAAUCCAUCUGGUGGGGAAAAUUGGGCAUGAGUGAGAACAACCAAAGCCCUAUUCCAUAUCGCUUUACCGAAGCUGUCUGUUAUGGCCUUAAUAACCUGUUUUUCCAAGUUAUCUACUCUAUAUGCAUCCAAGCGGUCCACAUAGAGAAGAAUAUCUAUAGUCUUAUUCAAAAGAAAGCGUUUUAUAAUCUCAAGUGCCUGGUCAUUGAUGUAACCUCCUUCUAUGAUGCCAGGUGUAUCAAUGAUGUUUAAUGUAAAUCCAGCCCUUGAGCGAGAAACCAUCACAGGCCUUGGCACUUCUGACUGAAAAGGACUAACAGAUACAGCUCUUUCACCAAUAAUGGAAUUCACAGUGGAUGACUUUCCAACACCACCCUUUCCCAUUACAAGUAUUGUCAAUGUGUUGAGAUUCUCCUGCUUCAGUUUUCCCAGCAACUCAAGUAAUUUUUCUUGAGUAGCCAUUGCAAAGUUGUUAAUCCCAAUCCACUCACGGACAACCUGAGAUGCCAUGAAGUUGUGUGUGCCUCGGUGCGGUUUUCGUGCGUGCCCGUGCGGUUGCAGCAGAGAGGGAGUGAAGAAAGGAAAAGUUACGGCGACGGAGGCGUGCCGGCGGACAACUGCGACGGAGAGGGUUUGCCGGCCUGGGUUGUAGCGGAGGAACCAAAAAUCUUGAUG
RNAcentral lists this unclassified non-coding RNA (737 nucleotides) under Hevea brasiliensis (rubber tree). Lineage: Eukaryota; Viridiplantae; Streptophyta; Magnoliopsida; Malpighiales; Euphorbiaceae. The record is from RNAcentral.